Molecule: ribosomal RNA, 1176 nt
Filed under: Triticum aestivum (bread wheat)
Lineage: Eukaryota; Viridiplantae; Streptophyta; Magnoliopsida; Poales; Poaceae
Description: partial small subunit ribosomal RNA
Source: RNAcentral
AUGAACGCAUGUGUAUGGGGUUCAAAAACUGUAACCGAGUUUGAGUUAGAGUGGAAUUCCAUAAUUUCAGACUUUGGGUUGGAGGAUAAUGAGUGGUUGACUAAAAGGUUUAGCCUUAGAGAGUCGUGGAUACCAACCUAUUUCAUGGACAUAUCACUGGCAGGCAUUCUGCGAACUACUUCAAGGUCCGAAAGUGCAAAUUCAUUUUCUAACCGAUUCAUUCAUCGCAGGCUCACUUUUGUUGAGUUCUGGCUUAGAUUUGAGACAGCUUUAGAAUGUCAACGUCAAGAGGAGUUGAUUGCAGACAAUUCAAGCAUCCAUAGGACCCCCCAAUUAGUGACACCAUGGGCAAUGGAGAGACAAGGUAGUGAAGUAUUCACAUAUGAGGUGUUUGUGAAAUUUCAGGAACAAGUUAUUGCUGCAAGAGACCACUGUUGUGUUCAAGGAAUUGCACAAGAUGAGGGAAUUAAGAUAGUGACCUUCAAAACAGGUGCUAGUAGGGUAAGGGAGGUCCGAUGUGACACGAAAACCAUGAUAGCUAACUGUUCAUGUAAGUUAUUUGAGUCACAUGGAAUCCCAUGCCGCCAUAUUAUGCAAGUGAUGCGAACUGAAAAUCAACAGGAGCUUCCAACCUUCUAUAUCAUGGAAAGAUGGCAGAAACGGUGUAAAAGUGAGAGUGUUUACGAUGAACAAGGGAACCUUCUAGAAGAAAAGCCCGCCGACUCCUUGGAUGCAGCUGCGAGGAAGAAGAUUUCAAUAGUGCGAAACAAGUUGGAAGAUCUAAUUCAAAGAGCCAAGCAAUCAGAUGAAGGCAUGGACUUUUUGGUCUCAAGUGUUCUUAGCAUUGAGGAGCCUCUGAACCAAAUGGUUCCUAAUGCAGUCAAGCACACUAGGCAAGAGGAAUACGAGGCAUUUAUUGGUUGCAACAUUCCUACUCAAAUUGACAUACACCCGCCAAAUGAUGCUCAUUUGGUUGGGAGAUGUAAAAGAAUAAAAAGAGGAAAGGAAAUGAAUGGGGAAAAACAAAAGGAGAGGAACAAAGAAGCCAAGGCCAAGGUUGCACGCUUGUGCAAGACAUGCAACCAAAUAGGUUUUCAUGAUAGUCGCAAUUGUCCAAGCAAAAAGGGUCAAGGAAAAGAAACCAUGAAUGUGCAAGACAUGCUUCCAAAUGGUUAA